UUUCUUAUCUAUCAGUUUCUGUUGUUUCGUUAAGGGCGAAACAUGGCAGUAACGGAUACGGAGAAUUAGAGUUCGACUCCGGAGAGGGCGCUUGAGGAUUGGCGACUACGUCUAAGGAUGGCAGCAGGCGCGAAAAUUGUCCAAUAUUAACUUAGUGAGACAGUGACGAUUAAUAACGAUCUUCCAUUUAUGGAAGAGUAUCGCAAGGUUUGUAAUGGUUGUAUGUUAAAUCUCUACAAGAGUAACGAUUGGAGGAAAAGUCUGGUGCCAGCACCCGCGGUAAUUCCAGCUCCAAUAGCGUAUUCUAAAUUUGUUGCAAUUAAAACGCUCGUAGUUAUACUAUUUAUCUGAUUGUAAUGAACCGGUAACUCAGUAGGUAGUACUUGGUUGAUAUCUUGACCUUGUAUUACUGUAAUUCCAAUUACAACUGGGAAGCCCUAGGCUACUACUUGUUUCUAUGUAGGUCACUACGCUGAAGUGGGGAAGAAGUGGUUUGUUAUAAGAAAGAUCCUAUCCAACUGUGAGUAAAUCAACGUGUUCAAGACAAGCAUUGUAUUCGGGUCACCGAAAUCGCUUGAAUGAUUUAGCAUGGUAUUGGGUCUAGAUCUUAGGAUAAUAAACGGGAAAUAGGCGGAGGGCUCAUGUAUUGUAUUGCUAGAGGUGAAAUUCAGAGAUCAAUACAAGACUAACAAACGCGAAAGCAGUUACGCCCACUACGUUUCCGUCAAUCAGGAACGAAAGUUGGGGGAUCGAAGGUGAUUAGAUACCACCGUAGUCCCAACCGUAAACGAUACCGACAGGAGAUUGGAUGAUGAUACCUUUCUCCAGAUCCUUUCAGAAUCUAAGGGAAACCGAAAGUCUUUAGGUUUUGGGGGGAGUAUGGUCGCAAGGCUGAAACUUAAAAGAAUUGACGGAAGAACACACCAGGAGUGGAGUUUGCGGCUUAAUUCGACCCAACACGGGAAAACUCACCAAGACCGGAUAAUGAGCAGGAUUGACAGGUUAAAGUCCUUUCAUGAUUUCUUAAAUGGUGGUGCAUGGCCGUUCUUAGUACGUGGAUUGAUUUGUCUGGUUAAUUCCGAUAACGUACGAGACCUUAACAUAUUAAUUAGCGGUCGUUGGGGCAACCCUUAUGUUUUUUUAAACCGGCCAAGCUCUUCGGAGCAGCUUCUUAAUGGGACAACUUGACGUUUUAAUUAUUAGCUCGGGGAAGUUUAAGGCAAUAACAGGUCUGGGAUGCCCUUAGAUGUCUUGGGCAGCACGCGUAUUACAAUGUUAGUGUUAACGAGAUAUAAGCUUGAGAUUUAUCUUGAGCUUCCAAGUCUCUGGGAAACCAUUUAAAAGACAAGGAAAUCUUUUAAAUUACUAACGUGACUGGGAUUGACCGUUGUAACAUGGUCAUGAACGAGGAAUUCCUAGUAAGUGCAAGUCACUAACUUGUACUGAUUACGUCCCUGUUCUUUGUACACACCGCCCGUCGCUCCUACCAAUGGAAUGGUAAGAUGAAAGACACGGACCGACUCGCGAGAGUAGGAAAAUUGAUUAAAUCUUCCCGUUUGUAGGAAGGAGAAGUCGUAACAAGGUUUUCGUAGGUG
This 1595-nucleotide ribosomal RNA is filed under the name uncultured soil eukaryote. RNAcentral describes it as "SSU rRNA". It matches the Rfam family "Eukaryotic small subunit ribosomal RNA", at positions 304 to 1811 of the family's 1831-position model. The record is from RNAcentral.